CAAAAAUAUUUGGGAUUUAUCUCAUACCAUUCAAAAUUUUAGAUUUCCCACAUCCCUAACCCUAACCCCGAACCCCCAAAUCUGACCAGUUUGCUCACAUCCUCUCUUUACCAGUCUCCAUUGCUUCCCAAAUCACGUCUCCAUUGCUUCCCAAAUCAUGGAACGAUCACCGUGAACGGUUGAGCACCACCACCACACUUCUUCCUAUUCAUAUUGGGAAGGCCCUUUGAUCCUCGUUCAACAGCCUUUCAUCUCGUUCAACCAUUCAGUUAGCCACUUUGAUCGAUUGCUUCACUGAGAAAUUUACUACAAAGGAGCGGAGCAGUUAUCGAGUUUUGGGGGCUUUAUUUUCUAACUUCCCCAUUUCGUUCUGUUUGAUUCGAGUUACUAAGUUUUGGGGGCGAGAGUCGAUUCUAGAAUUAGAGCAGAGUAGUCGUGAGUCUACUUUUCUAGGAAUCAAGAAUUCAAGCAAUUAAACUGGUGACCAGAGUCGGUUCUUAGAAGAGCCGUGGCAAGGCCAUGGCCCGGGCAAGUUUUUUCGGGCGUAGUGCUAAUUUUCCGCAUUUCGAUCGAAAUUUUUUAUAUAUACUAUGUUUGGCCCGGGCUUGUCCGGGCUUUUUUUAGUGCCCGUGUCUUUCGGCCCUGGCAUGUUCAACAAGCAAGAUCCGUCACUGUAGGUGAGUAUGGCAUUUUGAUGAUAUGGGUCACAGAUUCAUUUUGCUAAAUCUGCCACUUGUUUAGUUAACCACUCAUUCAAACUUUUUUCAAGGUGUCUAAUCAGUGUCUAAUGAAUGAAAUUUGAAAAUUAAAAUUCAUUGAUUAAGAAAAAACCACUUAGCAUUACAUGAUCUUUUGAUCCAUUUGAACUAAACUUUUUUUUUGAACCAUUUACCUUUAAGAGAUAAAAUAUAAACUCCGGUCGACCUGAUUAAUGAUAUAACUAGCUCAUUGUUUGCUGUUGCUAUUUUUUAAAUGCUAUUUGCAGAUGAUGUUGUGUUUAAUAGUGACAGGAUGAUGUUGGUCAGUUAGAAGUAGGGGUGUAACGAGCCGAGCUUAAACAACCUCGAGUCCGAGCCUAAAAACAAGCCUUUUUAGUAAACAAGCUUGAGCCCGAGCUUCGCUUAUCAAGCUCGAUCCAGCUCGCAAGCCUAAACAAGCAUUCUAAAAGAUGAUUUCUCAUAAUUGUUGAGCUUUUGGAAUAAUAAAAACGUGGUAGUAAUUUUCUUGACAAUGUCUUUCUUACUGUUACUUGUUAUUUAGAUUUGUCUCAUGAUGUACAUAGUUAGCCGAGUUGUAUAUAUUAUUGUGUGUGCAGAAGCAUUGUUUAAAUGGCAAGGAAUUGUAUGUGUCUUGUAUUCAUUUUUGACAACAUAGGAUUAAAUUUAAGUAGUUGGCUUGUGUUUUGUUACUGUACUGUUUCUUUUUUCUUCUGUGUAAUUAUUCCAGGAGCUUAGGGGCUUUUUAGGCUUUAAUAAUGUGUUAUUUAACCAGCCAAAAAAUAAAUGUCUGUGUAAUUUAGGCCGUUGUUUAUUCUUUUGAUAUUUCACUGUUUGUUUUCCUUGCAUAAUAUGACUUCUGAUGCACCUGAAGCCACAUCAAAAUUAAGAAAAGAUCUGGGGUAGAAGUAUAACUUUAAUAAAGACCCACAUGACCCAAAUUGUGUCACUUGCGUGUUUUGCAACUUCUCUACCAAGGGAGGAAUUUAUCGAGCAAACAACAUCAAAUUGGAGAAAAAUGAUGACCUGCACAAGAAAUUACCGACUUUAAUGAAGGUGUUUGAACAUACAUGUAAAGGGAUAUAAGGGCGUGUAUAUGUUGCUACAUAUGAUGACACGACAAGGAAUAUUGAACAAAAGAAGACCUACAAAAGUGCUUCGGAGGAUCCUUUUAUGAUUGUGAUGAACAAAGUAGAUGGUGCUUACACGUCAUACAUGAUUAUAGAGUAGUUGAUGGAACCAAUCAAAGCAAACGUUGAAGUUUAGAAAUUCCAAGGGGAUCAUGAUAGAAAUCUAUCCGAGCUCAAAGUUACGUGAAAAGAUAUUGACAGACAAUAACUAAACAUGGAAAGCUAUUAUGCGGAAGGUUAUGAAACGACUGUUAGUUGAAGAUAGAGAUGAGUCAAUUUUUUCAUUUAUAUUUUUUAUUGUAAUCAACACUUUGUGUAGAGUAUAUUGUUACUUGAGUUUGAACAAGUAUGUUAAUGUACACGUUUUGACUAUUUAUAAUAUUUUUGCUAUUAUUUUUUGGCGCA
Helianthus annuus (common sunflower) is the source of this 2251-nucleotide long non-coding RNA. RefSeq lists it as uncharacterized. The record is from RefSeq and is a predicted model, not a curated record. NCBI's taxonomy places the organism in Eukaryota, Viridiplantae, Streptophyta, Magnoliopsida, Asterales, Asteraceae. The transcript is spliced from 4 exons.